GACGAACGCUGGCGGCGUGCUUAACACAUGCAAGUCGAACGGAAAGGCCAUGCUUUUGUGGGGUGCUCGAGUGGCGAACGGGUGAGUAACACGUGAGUAACCUGCCCUUGACUUUGGGAUAACUUCAGGAAACUGGGGCUAAUAUCGGAUAGGAGCUCCUGCUGCAUGGUGGGGGUUGGAAAGUUUCGGCGGUUGGGGAUGGAAUCGCGGCUAAUCAGCUUGUGGGGGGGGUAGUGGCCUACCAAGGCUUUGACGGGUAGCCGGCCUUCUAGGGUGAACGGGCACAGUGGAACGGAAAUACGGCCCAGACUGCUACGGGAGGCAGCAGUGGGAAAGAUUGCACGAUAGGCGGAAGGCUGAUGCGGCAACGCCGCGUCCGGGAUGACGGCCUUCGGGUUGUAAACCGCUUUCGCCUGUAACGAAGCGAGAGUGACGGUAAUGGGUAAAAAAGCACCGGCUAACUACGUG
Molecule: ribosomal RNA, 468 nt
Filed under: uncultured bacterium
Lineage: Bacteria
Description: partial 16S ribosomal RNA
Rfam family: Bacterial small subunit ribosomal RNA
Source: RNAcentral